RNAcentral lists this ribosomal RNA (134 nucleotides) under uncultured eukaryote. Its description in RNAcentral is "partial small subunit ribosomal RNA". It matches the Rfam family "Eukaryotic small subunit ribosomal RNA", at positions 1651 to 1806 of the family's 1831-position model. The record is from RNAcentral.
CCCUGCCAUUUGUACACACCGCCCGUCGCUCCUACCGAUACCGGGUGAUAAGGUGAAUUUGUUGGACAGUUUUUACUGGAAGACAAGUAAACCUUAUCACCUAGAGGAAGGAGAAGUCGUAACAAGGUUUCCGU